Myotis lucifugus (little brown bat) is the source of this 123-nucleotide small nucleolar RNA. Ensembl annotates it as small nucleolar RNA SNORA26. Lineage: Eukaryota; Metazoa; Chordata; Mammalia; Chiroptera; Vespertilionidae. The record is from Ensembl.
AUAACUGAGAAAACAUACGCAGUGCCUUAAGGUGCUAACACAGAAGGGUAAAAAGUAAGUCUCGAUAAAACCCAGAGAAGAGAUGGUAAAACUCCUCUUUGGAUCCUGUCUGGAGUCACAGCC